Molecule: ribosomal RNA, 488 nt
Filed under: Bemisia tabaci
Lineage: Eukaryota; Metazoa; Arthropoda; Insecta; Hemiptera; Aleyrodidae
Description: partial 16S ribosomal RNA
Source: RNAcentral
ACAAAAACAUAGUUUAAAGAAAAAAAUUUUAGAUAAAUUCUGCUCAAUGAGUAAGUUAAAUAGCUGCAGUAAAUUAACUGUACUAAGGUAGCAUAAUAAGUUGCUUUAUAAUUAAAAGCUUGAAUGAAAGAAAUAAUGUGAAAGAAGCUUUUUAAACUAAAAUAGUGAAAAUUAAUAUUUAAGUGAAAAAUCUUAAAUAGAAUCAAAAGACAAGAAGACCCUUUAGAACUUUACAAAUUGAUUUAAUAUCAUUUAGUUAAUUUGUUAAAUUGGGGAGAUUUUUAAAUAAAUAAAUCUUUAGAUAUAAAAAAAUGAUUUAAAUCAGAUUAAAUUAUCCAAAUGUGAAAUAAAACAAGUUACCUAAGGGAUAACAGCGCAAAAUUUUUGAGAAGUUCUCAUUUACAAAAUAAAUUGCGACCUCGAUGUUGGAUUAGCGAUCUAACUUAAAAAGCAAAAAUUGAGUAGAGUGCUGCCCUCCCCCCUACCUU